RNAcentral lists this ribosomal RNA (409 nucleotides) under Mandarina polita. Its description in RNAcentral is "partial 16S ribosomal RNA". The record is from RNAcentral. Lineage: Eukaryota; Metazoa; Mollusca; Gastropoda; Stylommatophora; Camaenidae.
AGUUUUGAGCUAAAUAUAUUUAUAAUAUUAGUUAUUUAUGAAGGUGUUGUAAAACCUUUAUUUAAAAUUAUAUUUAGGGGUGAUAGGCCUUUCAAAAACUAAGAUAUCUUGAAUCUAAUUAAAAGUAUAUAGUACAAUUAACACAACUAUUAAGUGAUUAGGCUUUAUAGAAUUAUUAACCUAUAAGAUUUUAUUUACUAUAAUUUAAUAAUUAAGUAUAUAAAUAUAUUAAUAUACAUAUAUUAUAGUUUAUAAAAGAGUAAUUAGAUAGAUUAAAGUUCAUAUUUCUUAUAAUAAUGUUAAUAUUAGUAUUAAGUUUAUAUUUAUAUGAUGAACUCGGCAAAAAUACUUCUCAACUGUUUAUCAAAAACAUAACUAUGUGAAUGAAUACAUAGCGGUUUCUGCUCAA